AUUUCCAUUAUUUACUAUAUUAACAUUCUUUUCCAUUGUCUUCAUUUCAACCCUUUUUUGCUUUAUUUCUCUCCUCCCAUCUGUUGUGCUAUUAUUGACAUAUACUAGUUACCUGGUCUGAUGAAAAAAAAAUAUAUACAGUUACCUGACAAACACUUGUGUGUCAGAAGCUGAAGAUGGAAAGUGGGAUGGUGGAAUUAGAAGAAGAACUAUACCAUUCAGUGCGACGACCUUUUUUAAUAUGUUAUCUUCCCUUACUAGUGAGGCUUGCAAAGUAUUGUGUUUGACUAGGGACGUAAUUUAAAAAAUAAAGAAGACCUUUGACAUGUAAGGCAAAUACACACACACACACACACAUAUAUGUAUAUAAUGUGUGUGUGUGAAGUACCAAAUUUAUCCCGGUGAGAGUUCCACAUCUUUUUUCAUUUUCUUUCUCCUUCUAUAUAAACGGAUGAACUUUUAUGCCAAGGGGUUAAAUGGAGAUGAUAAGAUUAAAUAAUUUCCAAGAAGAGUAUGAUGUCAUUCUUUUUGGGAGGACAAUGUGUCACAUAAAAUGGAACAGAGGAAGUAUUAUAUAUAAGGCCUUCUCAGAAUGGUUGUGACCUUACUAUGGGGGUUAACUGUUAUUUUUGUAAUGAAAUCGCAUUAAUCUAGAUUUUGUGAUGAAAGGAUACUGGUAUCUUCCAAUAUUAAUUGCCUAGUAAGAAAAUAGUCCUUUCUCUUUUCUAUAUUUUUGAACUUUAAUGGGCAUCAUGAUGAUUGAAUGAAUACUGCCGUUGACCAUCAUUCUUAAAGCAGCAGCCAUUAAUUUGUCAAAAGAGAAACCACG
Long non-coding RNA from Lycium ferocissimum, 829 nucleotides. RefSeq lists it as uncharacterized. The transcript has 2 exons. The record is from RefSeq and is a predicted model, not a curated record. NCBI's taxonomy places the organism in Eukaryota, Viridiplantae, Streptophyta, Magnoliopsida, Solanales, Solanaceae.